UCCUCAAGUCUAGAGGCACUCAUGUCUAGCUAAGUAAACAAACACUAAGAAAGAAAAACACACACACACACACACACGCACACACACACACACGCACGCACACACACACACGCACACGCACACACACACGCACACACACACGCACACACACACGCACGCACACACACACAGCAAGCAGAUUAACAGACCACUCCUGCUCCUGAGAAGAUUUUCUCUUUUUCCUUUGUUAGUCUAAUAGGCAAGGUGUGUACUAAGAGAUUUUAAAAGUACAUGAGAAGAGCAGUCACAAGCUGUGAUGAUUGUGAGUUCACAGAAGCCCAGGGGAUUUUGAUAUUUCUUCAAGGAGUUAGCCAGGAGAAACCCUAACCGGUUGAGUUUAGAUGGAGGAGAACAGUAAAACCCCCCAGCGGGCUUUGCUCAACCAGGGAGAGGAGGAUGAACUGGAGGUGUUUGGUUACCGUGACCAGAAUGUACGGAAAUCCCUCUGCUUUGUUGCAUCCGUGCUGACCUGUGGGGCUCUUCUGCUGGUGUUCUACUGGAGACCCCAGUGGAGAGUGUGGGCCAACUGCGUCCCAUGUCCCUUGCAAGAAGCAGACACUGUUUUGCUGAGGACAACAGAUGAAUUUCAAAGAUAUAUGAGAAAGAAGGUAUUCUGCCUCUACCUAUCCACACUGAAGUUUCCUGUAAGCAAAAAGUGGAAGGAAUCCCUGGUGGCUGACCACCACUCUUUCAUAAACCAAGCCUUACAAAAGCCAGAAUUAAAACUGCGAUGCAUUCAAGUGCAGAAAAUCAGGUAUGUUUGGAACAACCUGGAGAAGCGGUUUCAGAAAGUUGGGUUGCUAGAGGAUAGCAACUCCUGCUUUGACAUCCAUCAGACGUUUGGAUUGGGUCUGACCAGUGAAGAGCAAGAGGUCAGAAGAUUAGUGUGUGGGCCCAACACCAUUGAGGUUGAAAUCCAACCCAUAUGGAGGCUGCUUGUUAAACAGGUUUUAAAUCCAUUCUAUGUGUUCCAAGCCUUCACUCUAACUUUGUGGCUGUCUCAAGGUUACAUAGAAUACUCUGUGGCCAUCAUCAUUUUGUCUGUUAUCUCCAUUGUCUUAAGUGUGUAUGAUUUGAGACAGCAAUCAGUUAAGCUGCAUAACCUCGUGGAAGACCACAACAAAGUCCAGGUUACAAUCAUCGUGAAAGACAAAGGUUUGGAGGAGCUGGAAUCCCGUCUCUUGGUUCCUGGAGACGUUCUUAUUCUUCCAGGAAAAUUUUCAUUGCCAUGUGAUGCUGUUUUGAUUGAUGGACACUGCGUGGUGAAUGAAGGCAUGCUCACAGGAGAAAGUAUACCUGUUACAAAGACACCACUGCCCCAAAUGGAGAAUACUGCGCCUUGGAAAUGUCAUAGCUUGGAGGAUUACCGGAAACAUGUCCUCUUCUGUGGAACAGAAGUUAUCCAGGUCAAGCCCUCUGGGCAGGGACCUGUAAGAGCAGUCGUUUUGCAAACAGGUUACAAUACAGCCAAAGGGGACUUAGUGAGAUCCAUCCUCUACCCUCGGCCUUUGAACUUCAAACUAUACAGCGAUGCCUUCAAGUUCAUGGUGUUCCUGGCCUGCCUUGGUGUCGUGGGUUUUUUCUAUGCCCUAGGGGUAUAUACAUACCACGGAAUCCCUCCAAAAGACACUGUGACCAUAGCCCUGAUUCUCCUCACUGUGACUGUCCCUCCAGUGCUGCCGGCUGCCCUGACCAUAGGCAUCGUGUAUGCUCAGAAGAGACUGAAGAAAAAGAAAAUCUUCUGUAUCUCCCCACAGAGAAUCAACAUGUGUGGGCAAAUAAACCUCGUGUGCUUUGACAAAACUGGUACUCUCACUGAAGAUGGGCUAGACCUCUGGGGGACUGUCCCUACUGCUGACAACUGCUUCCAGGAAACCCACAGCUUUGCCUUGGGCCAGGCUUUGCCAUGGGGCUCACUGUGUGCAGCCAUGGCCAGCUGCCACUCUCUGGUUCUCGUCGAUGGGACCAUCCAGGGAGACCCUCUGGACCUCAAAAUGUUUGAGGGCACUGCCUGGAAAAUGGAAGAUUGCAACAUAGACUCCUGCAAAUUUGGGAUGUCAAAUUCAAACAUCAUAAAGCCAGGACUAAAAGCCAGUAAGAGUCCGAUAGAAGCCAUCACCACCUUGCGCCAGUUUCCAUUUUCCUCAAGCCUGCAGAGGAUGUCCGUGAUUGCUCAGCUAGCUGGGGAAGACCACUUCCACAUCUACAUGAAGGGUGCCCCAGAAAUGGUGGCCAGAUUCUGCAGAACUGAAACAGUGCCCAAGAAUUUCCCACAGGAGCUGAGGAAUUACACAGUGCAAGGCUUCCGUGUCAUUGCUUUUGCCCACAAAGCCUUGAAGAUGGGAAAUCUUUCAGAAGUGGAGCACAUAACCAGAGAAAAAGUGGAGUCAGAGUUAACAUUUCUGGGACUUCUCAUCAUGGAGAAUCGCUUGAAAAAAGAAACUAAACCAGUCUUGAAGGAACUAAGUGAGGCCUGUAUCAGGACUGUGAUGAUUACAGGUGACAACCUAGAAACGGCCAUUACCAUUGCAAAGAAUUCUGAAAUGAUCCCUCAAGGCAGCCAAGUGAUCAUUGUUGAAGCCAAUGAACCAGAAGAAUGUGUUCCUGCCUCUGUGACCUGGCAGCUGGUGGAGAAUCAAGAGAUUGGACCCGGGAAGAAAGAAACCUUCAUUAACACUGGAAACAGUUCGAUACCUGGUGGGGAAAGAGGAAGUUGCUACCAUUUUGCAAUGAGUGGGAAAUCAUUCCAAGUGAUAUUUCAGCAUUUCAGCAGCUUGCUUCCAAAAAUUCUGGUGAAUGGAACCGUUUUUGCAAGAAUGUCUCCCGGGCAGAAAUCAAGCCUUAUUGAAGAAUUUCAGAAAUUAAAUUAUUAUGUGGGCAUGUGUGGAGAUGGAGCUAAUGAUUGUGGGGCUUUGAAAGUGGCUCAUGCAGGCAUUUCAUUGUCAGAGCAGGAAGCAUCUGUGGCAUCCCCUUUUACCUCUAAAACAGCCAAUAUCGAGUGUGUGCCUCAUCUCAUCAGAGAAGGCCGAGCUGCUCUGGUUUCAUCUUUUGGGGUAUUUAAAUACUUGACCAUGUAUGGCAUAAUCCAGUUUAUCGGUACAUCACUGCUUUAUUGGCAACUGCAACUCUUUGGAAAUUACCAGUAUCUCAUGCAAGAUGUAGCCAUUACUUUGAUGGUCUGUUUGACAAUGAGUUCAACCCAUGCCUACCCAAAGCUGGCUCCGUAUAGACCAGCAGGACAGCUCCUUUCUCCCCCUUUACUGCUGUCGGUAUUUCUGAAUUCCUGUUUCUCCUGCAUUGUGCAGAUCUGUGCAUUUCUCUACGUGAAGCAGCAGCCUUGGUAUUGUGAGGUCUACCAGUACAGUGAGUGUUUUCUGGCCAACCAAAGUAAUUUUUCAACAAAUGUGAGUUUGGAAAGAAACUGGACUGGAAAUGCAACUCUGAUUCCUGGCUCAAUUUUAAGUUUUGAGAGUACCACACUGUGGCCGAUCACCACCAUCAACUGUAUCACAGUAGCAUUUAUCUUUUCUAAGGGAAAGCCAUUUCGAAAACCCAUCUAUACAAACUAUAUAUUUUCAUUUCUGCUGCUAGCUGCCUUGGGCCUCACAAUUUUCAUUCUGUUUUCUGACUUUCAAGUUAUAUACCAUGGAAUGGAGAAAUGCAAAUGAAUGUCACGUGGCAGAGACAGAAAUCAAAAGCAAGGCUUCCCCAAGCCCUAGAAGACUGGCUAAAACUGAGGCCAUGGGCUGUGGAGUAUGAACAACAAUGAAUAAUAAAAGAAGGCAUGGAUGGAUGAAGUCAACUAGAGAAGUUUAGACUUUAUGCCAAGAGCAACAGGGAGUGAAUGAAGCUAUCUGAGCAGGCUUCUCAGCAGGGCACUGAGAAAACAGAUUAAUUAGAUGAUGGCAGGAAGACUACAUGUGAGAGGAGAGAGGAGCAAUUAGAAAAUGAAAACCCGGGGGAUCGAUCCAAGAUGGCCAACCACUAACAGCUCAGGAUUGUAGCUUCCAGUGAAAGCCCAGAGAACGAGACGACGCCACACUUUUAGACGAAUUUUCGUCACUCACCGAUCAGCUGAUUCCCAGUGGAGGAGCCCCACGGGUCGCCAGCGCAACUCUUGUGGCCGCCACAGCGGUUUUGCCGGCAUCUUGGCGCAGCAGCUCUUCAUGCAGAGCCAACGGGACUGCUUCCCCUACUGACCGGAGUUUGGAGCUCCGGGAAGGCAGAGCCGCUUGUUGCGGACUCGGGAGGGAAGCCAGACCAGAGAUUCCUGGGCAGAAGAGCACCAUCAGUCUUAUUGCUGCUAUUUAGGCUGCCACAGUGGGUUGCUCGGAUCCCAGCACUGGGAAUCAAUAAGUUGGACGUUGACUCAGAAACCUAAUUAGAAAGGCGGGUCAUCUACAAUGAAGGGGAAAAAACAGCCUAAGAAGGCCGAGUAUACUCAAAAUCAGAACCCAUCAGCAAUGGAAUAAGCCCUGAUGGAAAAGGACUCAUCAGCAAUGGAGCAAGCCCUGAUGGAAAAGGACUGUGUUCCAUUAUCUGAAGUAGGCUUUAAAAGGUGGAUGAUAAGAAACUUCUGGGAGUUAAAGGAACUUGUUCUAACCCAAUGUAAAGAAACUAAGAACUUGGAAAAAAGGUUCGAUGAAAUGUUGAAAAGAAUAGACAAUAUAGAGAGGAAUACAAAUGAACUUAUGGAGUUGAAAAAUACAACACGAGAACUUAGUGAAAUAUGUACAAGCUUAAACAGCUGAAUGGAUCAAGCAGAAGAAAGGGUAUCAGAGAUCGAAGACCAACUUAAUGAAACAAAACGACAAGACAAGAAUAGAGAAAACAGGAUAAAAAGGAAUGAGCAAAGUCUCCAAGCAAUAUGGGACUAUGUGAAAAGAUCUAAUAUACUCUUGAUAGGUGUACCUGAAUGUGACGGAGAGAAUGAAUUCAAGCUGGAAAAUACUCUCCAGGACAUUAUUCAGGAAAAUUUUCCUAAUUUAGCAAAGCAGGACAUUAUUCAACCCCAGGCAAUACAGAGAACACCACAAAGAUAUUCCUCAAGAAGACCAACCCCAAGGCACAUAAUCGUUAGAUUCACCAAGAUCAAAACAAAGGAGAAAAUAUUAAGGGCAGCCAGAGAGAAAGAUCAAGUUACCCAUAAAGUUCAUCCCAACCAUAACAUCAUGGAGGGUUUUAAUUUUGGUGGUAGCCCUCACCCAAUUCUGUGUGGCUUUCUUUGUAGAGG
This is an RNA transcript of Callithrix jacchus (white-tufted-ear marmoset), 5272 nucleotides long. It is a transcript of the gene named ATPase 13A5, with no coding region annotated. Lineage: Eukaryota; Metazoa; Chordata; Mammalia; Primates; Cebidae. The record is from RefSeq and is a predicted model, not a curated record.